This 438-nucleotide ribosomal RNA is filed under the name uncultured bacterium. RNAcentral describes it as "bacterial SSU rRNA". It matches the Rfam family "Bacterial small subunit ribosomal RNA", at positions 28 to 463 of the family's 1533-position model. The record is from RNAcentral.
GAUGAACGCUGGCGGCGUGCUUAACACAUGCAAGUCGAACGGGAUCCAUCAGGCUUUGCUUGGUGGUGAGAGUGGCGAACGGGUGAGUAAUGCGUGACCGACCUGCCCCAUACACCGGAAUAGCUCCUGGAAACGGGUGGUAAUGCCGGAUGCUCCGACUCCUCGCAUGGGGUGUCGGGAAAGAUUUCAUCGGUAUGGGAUGGGGUCGCGUCCUAUCAGGUAGUCGGCGGGGUAACGGCCCACCGAGCCUACGGCGGGUAGCCGGCCUGAGAGGGCGACCGGCCACAUUGGGACUGAGAUACGGCCCAGACUCCUACGGGAGGCAGCAGUGGGGAAUAUUGCACAAUGGGCGCAAGCCUGAUGCAGCGACGCCGCGUGCGGGAUGACGGCCUUCGGGUUGUAAACCGCUUUUGAUCGGGAGCAAGCCUUCGGGUGAGU